ACGGGCAGGACGCGCCGCGGUCGGCCAGGAAGGAGACCGGCACCCAGACAGGAAGGAAAAUACCCGUACAGCCAACUUCCUUGAGGGUUCGUUCUUUUGCAUCAGGGUGUCUCAAACUCCUGCCCUUAAAACACCUGCAAGAGAAUCAUCUAGGUGGCUUGCUCGCUCUGCAUGCAGACCCUUUAGAAUCAGAGUCAGAAUACCUGGGGCUGGAGCCACAAAAUGAAAUGACAUUUCAACAAGUUUGUCAUCACGUAAGAGAGAAUAGAUAACUUCACUCUUCUCUGCAACGAAUCCCAAAAGUAUAUAAUUGAGCUGACUGCAAGGUACUUGACACGCAAGAGACUCCACAAAUGGGAUUCAGCCUCUGGAAAGUGGUGGUAGUUCCAGAUUUAUGUGGAUGUUACUUUGUUUUUCCCUAUAAAAUAUAUUAUUUAAACUAUCAAA
This 447-nucleotide long non-coding RNA is filed under the name Homo sapiens (human). RNAcentral describes it as "long intergenic non-protein coding RNA 937". Lineage: Eukaryota; Metazoa; Chordata; Mammalia; Primates; Hominidae. The record is from RNAcentral.